Molecule: non-coding RNA, 470 nt
Organism: Pimephales promelas (fathead minnow)
Lineage: Eukaryota; Metazoa; Chordata; Actinopteri; Cypriniformes; Leuciscidae
Source: RefSeq, a predicted model, not a curated record
UAUUUUUAUUUUUUUAUUUUUUAUUCAGUUCAGUUAUCGAAUGUCUGCGUCAGAAGAAGUCAGAAAGUUAAACUAGUUUUACUUUCAGUUAAGAACUAAUUUCAUUCAUUUACAUUUAUUAGAAACAUAACUUCUAAGAAUACGAAUACUUGCUUUCAUUCCUAUUAUUGAGAACAGUCGCCUGGAGAAUGCAAAACUAAUGUAAAAUGUAUGUCUUUAAAGAAAGAAAUAUGCAAAAAAUCCCAUAAGUUGUGGUUUAAAACAAAACAUUCUGACAUUAGAGUGGGCUGUGGUUUAAAAAUGGUGGUUUAAAACAAAACAUUCUGACAUUAGAGCAGGUUGUGGUUUAAAAAUGGUGGUUUAAAACAAAACAUUCUGACAUUAGAGCGGGUUGUGGUUUAAAAAUGGUGGUUUAAAAAUACAUUUUCUGACAUUAGAGCAGGUUGUGGUUUAAAAAUGGUGGUUUAAAA